This 328-nucleotide long non-coding RNA is filed under the name Bos taurus (domestic cattle). RNAcentral's name for it is "long non-coding RNA NONBTAT016814". The record is from RNAcentral. Lineage: Eukaryota; Metazoa; Chordata; Mammalia; Artiodactyla; Bovidae.
GGUGCCAAGUUCCACACGGGGUCUCAUGGAUCGGCAGGAGAUGUCAGUGAAAGAAGGGGCGCAGAAUGAUCACUAACCCAUGACUCCCAACAGUAUGACAGGUACCUGGUUUCUUUUUUCUUUGUGAUCCCUCUUUUCUGUUCCACCCAGAGAGACAUACAGGCUUCCUGAAAGGCCAGCCUGAGUCUUAGCAACAGUUAUGUCCAAGUCAACGAAUGUUAUUAAAUGCAAAUAUAUCCAGUGAAAGCCUAGUUUUUCUCCUUCUCAAGGUCAUCCUCUCACACCCGAUACGUUUCCUCUCACAUUAUAUAAGAAGUGGCUCUAUGUA